UACGGAGGAUGCGAGCGUUAUCCGGAUUUAUUGGGUUUAAAGGGUGCGCAGGCGGGAUUUUAAGUCAGCGGUGAAAUUUUCAGGCUCAACCUGAACACUGCCGUUGAAACUGGGAUUCUUGAGUAUGGAUGAAGUAGGCGGAAUUCGUUGUGUAGCGGUGACAUGCUUAGAUAUAACGAGGAACUCCGAUUGCGUAGGCAGCUUACUAAGCCAUAACUGACGCUCAAGCACGAAAGCGUGGGGAUCAAACAGGAUUAGAUACCCUGGUAGUCCACGCCGUAAACGAUGAUUACUAGUUGUUUGCGAUAUACCGUAAGUGACUAAGCGAAAGCGAUAAGUAAUCCACCUGGGGAGUACGCCGGCAACGGUGAAACUCAAAUGAAUUGGCGG
RNAcentral lists this ribosomal RNA (390 nucleotides) under uncultured Dysgonomonas sp. RNAcentral describes it as "bacterial SSU rRNA". It matches the Rfam family "Bacterial small subunit ribosomal RNA", at positions 524 to 916 of the family's 1533-position model. The record is from RNAcentral. Lineage: Bacteria; Pseudomonadati; Bacteroidota; Bacteroidia; Bacteroidales; Dysgonomonadaceae.